UAAGAUCUCCAUACCCCGUCCGGUAUGGGAGACCACAAUCCCGGUAGGGUUCCCAACGGACCCGGUCCGUCCACCAUCUCCCAGGAUAUCUAGUCAGGCUGACCACAGUAUACAAUUUCCAUUUACAUAAUCUUUCAUUCUCCUUUUCCCUCAGUCAGCAUUAUCAAUCACAUACAAACAAGCAAAACGAUAAUUUAUGCCAAACAGACAACAUACAGCAUCAAUAUCCCGGUCAUUCAAUCCAUGAUCAAUAAAACAGUAGAAUAUGCACACGAAACUAUAAAAUGAAAACAUCAAAUCUCAUACUGCAUUUAAAACUGUAAACAGGCCAAAUAACAGUUAACCGACAAACACACUAGACUCGGACUCCAUUAGCGACCUUAAGCAAUUUCACACAUUCGUUGAUUCAUGAAAUACCGUUUUAUCAUUUAUUGAACUUUAAAACCGUGAUAAGAAAUAGGGUGAGGGGUCCUUACUCGUUUCGGGGUCCGAACACGGCUUGCGGCGGCGGUUUGCCUCGGGUUGGCCGUUUUCGGCCGAAUUCGGCCACACUCGCAUUGGUUCCUGCGAUAAAACAACCUUACGGCCCUCGGGGGGCCGAAAAUUUACGGAAAACCGAAGCUUACCGGCGGCGGUGCUCUCGGGUGCGGCGGCUCUCCGGUGAAGUUCGUGUUUUGGUGAUUCGGCUCCGAUCAACCUGUAGAGAAAAGAAUGGUGAUCACGGUGAUAUAAAAAUUGCAUUAAACGGAGGCCGGGAAGGGCCUCAUCGGAGGCAAAAACCGAGAAGGGGCGCGGCGGCGCCGCUGGCUUUCGGCCGUGUUUUCCGGCCGUUUGGCCGGGAUUUUGGCUCCGAUUUGGCCACUGGGGAAAUCAGCGUGGAAAAACGAGUUGAGGGUAUGAAAUUUACCUCGAUCGGCGGUCGGAAAUCCCUCGGGUGCGGCGGCGGGUGGCGGCGGUCGGCUUCUGGUUCGUCUUCUCCGGCGAGGGCAGGCGGCUAGGGUUUGGGGUCUGGUGUGGGGGUCUUAUUUAUACCCUUUUGCCUUUUGAUCUCAGCCGUCCAUUUUGAUUUAAUCUGGGCCGUCCGUUUUUGAUUUAAUCUGGGCCGUCCGUGCGCGCGAUUGAUCUGGACCGUCCGAUCGCGCGCACGCGGAUCGCCAACGUGGCCCGUCCCCGGUCGACGUGGUUUUGCCACGUGGCAGGUCCUGGUUGGCCAGGCCUACUGACUGGGUCUGCUGACGUGGCUGCUGACGUGGCACGCGCGUUUUUUUUUUUUUUUUUCCUUCAAUUUCUUCAAUUUCCCCGGGCGCUACAACUCUCCCCCCCUAAAAGAAAUUUGGUCCCCAAAUUUGCCUCAUUACUCUUGAUCGAACAAAUGGGGAUAUUGGGCCCUAAAUUCUGAUUCCAGUUCCCAGGUGGCCUCCCUGAGCAUGUGGUUCUGCCGCACGACUUUUACAAAUGAUAUUUCCCGGUUGCGGAGUAUUCUGCUCUCUCGGUCCGUGAUACCGACCGGUACUUCUUCAUAAGACAAGUCCUCUCGGAGUGGAAGCGGUUCAUGAGCCAAGACAUGAGAAGGGUCCGGAUUGUACUUACGUAGCAU
RNAcentral lists this long non-coding RNA (1597 nucleotides) under Carica papaya (papaya). RNAcentral describes it as "long non-coding RNA (CPAP_LNC000611)". The record is from RNAcentral. Lineage: Eukaryota; Viridiplantae; Streptophyta; Magnoliopsida; Brassicales; Caricaceae.